This 256-nucleotide ribosomal RNA is filed under the name uncultured bacterium. Its description in RNAcentral is "partial 16S ribosomal RNA". It matches the Rfam family "Bacterial small subunit ribosomal RNA", at positions 526 to 779 of the family's 1533-position model. The record is from RNAcentral.
CGAAGGGGCGUAGCGUUGUUCGGAAUUAACUGGGCGUAAAGGGACGCGUAGGCGGCCUGUUUAAUCAGAAGUGAAAGCCCCGGGCUCAACCUGGGAACCGCUUUUGAUACUGGCAGGCUUGAGUUCCGGAGAGGAUGGUGGAAUUCCCAGUGUAGAGGUGAAAUUCGUAGAUAUUGGGAAGAACACCGGUGGCGAAGGCGGCCAUCUGGACGGACACUGACGCUGAGGCGCGAAAGCGUGGGGAGCAAACAGGAUU